UGGCUGCGACUGGAUGGGCAUUCUAUU
Molecule: non-coding RNA, 27 nt
Filed under: Mus musculus (house mouse)
Lineage: Eukaryota; Metazoa; Chordata; Mammalia; Rodentia; Muridae
Source: RNAcentral